RNAcentral lists this long non-coding RNA (317 nucleotides) under Felis catus (domestic cat). Its description in RNAcentral is "lncRNA (ENSFCAG00000042537.2)". The record is from RNAcentral. Lineage: Eukaryota; Metazoa; Chordata; Mammalia; Carnivora; Felidae.
AUGGACCAUAUUUAUUCAACAGAUUUAUUAAUGGACUCUCAUCGUUUUGAAUAUUUUGCCUCUAUUAGCAAUGCUGUGAUAAACAUUCUUAUAAGAGGAGUGCUUCAGGAAAAUGUGUUCAAACUUCAAAGGAGAGUUUUAUGGAAAAGUAUUUUGGAUGACCUGGGAGAUACACAAGGUAAAGGAGGAGACCUUUGUAAGAGACAUAAUUUGGAAGGAGUGUUGAAUAGUAAGUUAGUCAUGAUACCCAUUCUGCAGUAAAUGUAGAGAAGGGUAUGAGAAUACUUAUAAUAAAGAAGUUUCUAAGAAUAAUUUCA